Tigriopus californicus is the source of this 2070-nucleotide long non-coding RNA. RefSeq lists it as uncharacterized. The transcript has 2 exons. NCBI's taxonomy places the organism in Eukaryota, Metazoa, Arthropoda, Copepoda, Harpacticoida, Harpacticidae. The record is from RefSeq and is a predicted model, not a curated record.
GCCUCGCAGACAGAAACACGCGCUCAAUAAAUGCCUGUCUGUGUCAAACACGGCCACGGUCGCUUACCCGAAGAGGUGAAAGUGUAUUUGGAGACCUAACAGACUCAUUGGGAUGCUUCAAUCUUGUUUACAACAAUAAAUGGAAGGAUUCCCUUGGACGCAAUAUUUGUUUGACAAGUGGAUGCGUAGCAAAAUUGACUCUGAAUUGAGGCCAAUUUAGAGGAAUGAUUUAUUUUUAUUCUUAAAUUGAUAAGAUAUCGAAAAAAAAUUUUUGGGGUUACGUGGCGAUCGGGAAUUUCAUAACUCGUAAGGGUGAAUUAAUUGAUUUUAUUCUCGGAUGUCAAAAGUGUCACUGUUUGUAAAAGAAUAUUGUUUUUUCAAAAAUCAUGUUCAGUAAUCAAUGUCGAAUCGUGUGUUGGAAAGUACUAGCAAGCCAACCAUAAGCACUAGAAUUUCAAAGAAAUCGAAGUUCAUGAAAAUUCCAUACAUGAAAUCAAAGCAAAAAUGCUUGUGCAAUAUCUUGUGCAGAUAACAAGUCAAGUUUAAACAAAGUCUGCAUUCGACAAAAAGAUCAACAUUUUCGUGCCAAGUAGAAGUGCCAAGGCCACAGAUAAGCCUUUGUCAGUGAUUUGCCUUAAUUAAUGUAAUAUUACUUCGACAAACGGAAUCGAAAUCAGUGUCCAUACCUGUCUUGAAUUGCUCUCAAGUUGCUUUCGAAAAGGGUUUGAAUUAGGCGGCUUUGCACAUAAAGCCGUGGUCAACCAGUCGCCUUGAAACAUUCUACGGUAUAGAAACGUAAGACAAAGAUUAGGCGCUUAGCUUUAGGGCAAGCUGCAAUCAAAAAAGAUAACAAUAGUGUCUUUGUAUUAUGAUCAGAAUUAAGUACACGCCUUAAAAAAGAUAAGAUUGUACUGACCAUGAAGGGGCAAGAAAAUUGCUGAUGACUAGAGUCGGGAUUAAUAAGUGUCAUUGAUAGGCUACUCAAACAUCUGCACUGAUAGGAGAGCUCUAGAGCGUGUGGAUGCUUUGUUGAUCCGCGUUCAAUAUGUGUCCUGCUGUCCAACAUCUAUGCGGGACUCGGAUACUCCAUUCGUUCUGACGACCUGGUUCUCUUGGCUGAUUCAGGCGUGGAAUUUCAAAAUGCCGUCAAUGCACUCCACGGUUACUGCCAAGAGAACGGCCUUCAAGUCAAUACCAUCAAGACGAAGGCCAUGGUUUUCCACAAAGAUCGUCUGCCUCCGACUUCUUUCCAUAUCCACAAUAGUCCGAUUGAAAUCGUCAACAAUUUUAAUAUGUCGGUUUCACAUUCUCAACUCAACUCUCCUUCACCAACCACCUCAAAUCAUCAACAGUCAAAGCCAGAGCAGGAUCGGAUACAUUUGCAAUAGACUUCCCAUCACGAACCUUCCUCUUCCAAUAGUUAUUUAACUCUUCCGGACCUACAUCACUCCAAUUUUCCUCUACGGCCUUCACCUCUGGCUCCCAUACUCCGCCCAAUCCGCCCUCAAAUCCGGCGAUGCCAGCUUCACCAAGUUCCUCAAACGAUACCUGUGCGUGCCCCAAUAUGCCAACAAUGCAAGGACGCAUUUCCUAUGCGAAACCGAGCCCCUCACCAUCGGCCUGGUCUGGUUAGUGUCCAACAGUGUUGGGAACUAGACCUUUCCCGGAGAUGAUGUCCGGACACAAGUUGUCCUUCCCGGUCAAGGACUUGCUAACAAAUUAUUGUCCUUGGCCCGACAUCCCUUCGGAGUCGACGGGAGCUGACAAAAGAUCUGUCCAAUCUGGCCCAUCCUCUUCUCUGAAAUAACUAAGAAUUUCAUCACUUACCUUUACUUAACUCUGUUUAUACUGCCUUUUCUCGCUCUCACUUUUUCCCUGUGUAUUGAACCAAUUCUAGUCAAAUUCACUGUGAUAUCACUCUCUAGUCAACUAUUUUAUUGCUUUUCCCAUUUUUGACAUUUUUCUUUUUAUCCACCUAAAAGCGUGUAUAAUGUUUAUACACCAUCUUCGUAAUUGUUCGUAUAUGAAAGGUUCCGUGUCAAGUUUAAAUAAAGUUUCAGUUCUUAUUCA